Syngnathoides biaculeatus (alligator pipefish) is the source of this 3369-nucleotide RNA transcript. It is a transcript of the gene named host cell factor C2, with no coding region annotated. NCBI's taxonomy places the organism in Eukaryota, Metazoa, Chordata, Actinopteri, Syngnathiformes, Syngnathidae. The transcript has 16 exons. The record is from RefSeq and is a predicted model, not a curated record.
UCGUAUGACCCAUGAAAGAUUUUGUGCUUGUAAACAACAAAGAAUCGUGUUUAAUGUUUUUUUUUUAAUCAAGUACGUUUUUGUCCUUCUGUAUUUUUAUUGAUGUAAUCUGUUCCAAGAUUUGUUGAAUUCAACGCAAGGUUUGUAUGCACAACAAAAAAACAAACAAAAAAAGAGGAGCAGGAUAUUCGUUUGAAUGUGAAACUCUUUGGACCCACUUCCGGUCGUCUCCUUCGCUUUAAAUACUCAACAAGCGCCAAAGUUGAGCCUCUUCACAGAGGAAAAUGACGACCGAAGAGCCCCGAUGGCGAAAAGUCCCUUCGGUUACAGGCGUCAUACCGCGUUCGAGACACGGACACCGGGCGGUGGCCAUCCGGGAGCUGAUUGUGGUGUUUGGCGGCGGAAACGAAGGGAUAGCGGAGGACCUCCAUGUUUACAACACUGUUUCCAAGCAAUGGUUUCUGCCCGCGGUGAGGGGAGACAUCCCUCCUGGUUGUGCCGCCCACGGCUUAGUCUGCGAAGGUGCCCGGAUACUGCUCUUUGGUGGCAUGGUGGAGUAUGGCAAAUACUCCAACAACCUCUAUGAACUUCAGGCUAAUCGCUGGCUUUGGAAGAAACUGAAGCCCCGAGCGCCCAAGAACGGCUUACCCCCGUGUCCUCGUAUCGGCCACAGUUUCACCCUCGUGGGCAACAAGUGCUACGUGUUCGGAGGGCUGGCCAACGUCAGCGAGGACCCCAACGGCAACGUCCCACAGUACAUGGACGACAUGUACGAGUUGGAGCUGCAGUCCGUGUCGGGGGCGAGGGGCUGGCGCGUCCCGGAGACGAAAGGCGGCGGUCCUUCGGCGCGAGAGUCGCACAGCGCCGUCGCCUACACCGGGCCGGGCUCUCCAAAGCUCUUUAUCUUUGGAGGGAUGCAAGGCAGCCGAUUAGACGACCUCUGGCAGCUGGACCUCAGCACGAUGCUGUGGUCAACGCCCGAGACGAGGGGUUCGGUGCCCUUACCCAGGAGCCUUCACUCUGCCAGUGUGAUUGGAAACAAGAUGUUCGUCUUCGGCGGCUGGAUUCCCGUUCCGGAGUCGGAGAAGCAAAACGAGGCGGGGAUCAAAUGGAUUUGCACUAACUCCUUAUUCGCGCUGAACUUGGACACGAUGAGCUGGCAGAACCUGGGCCCAGAGUACGACGACAUCGGCCUCCAGCUGCAGAGCCGGAACCUCCAGAAGCUCGAGCACGACGACGGCGGCAGGCCCAAAGCCAGGGCAGGCCACUGCGCCGCCGCCAUCGGGUCCAGGCUGUACAUUUGGAGCGGGCGGGACGGUUACCAUAAGAACCUUUAUCAAGUGUGCUGCAAGGACCUUUGGUACCUGGAGACAGAUCGACCGGCCUGCGCCGAUGCGGUGAUGCUCAUCAAAUCCACCGUGGGCACGCUUCACGUGGCCUGGUGCCCCCUGUCGGGAGCCGACUGUUACCUCCUCCAGAUUCAGCCCGUCCACCCUCAACUCAAACAAGAUUUGACGUCGACAGACAAAGAGAGAAAAGAUAAAGAUUCCCAGUCCUUGGAUGUCACGAGCGAACGCACCACUGAAGAUCAAGGGAACGUCUCAGCACAGGAUGGUUCAAAGCAGCACAACGAUCAGGUGAAAUCAUCCAAUAGCUCACAAGAAGGGGGACAGGAGUCGUCGUGCUCAGCCCACCGUCAGAAGGCUGCGAACCCCGCUCAGAAUCCAGAGGGAGCCGCGUGGUUUGACGUCGGCGUGUUCAAGAGCCUCUUUUCUGAGGUCCGGCACUACUAUCUCCCGGCCGACAACAACCGGGCGACCCCGACCCUCGGCGGCCGGCCUCCUGUCGCCAGAGAGAGGAAGCUGCCGGAUUCGGACGACUACCAGGACAGAGAGAAGAAGGAGCUGGAGCCGGGCCGGAGUUACCGCUUCAGAGUGGCGGGCGUCAAUUGCUUCGGCCAGGGAGACUUCAGCCAGGUCAGCGAGUUCAAGACGUGCCUGCCCGGCUUCCCCGGAGCCCCCUCGGCGGUCAAGAUCUCCAAGGCCAACGAAUUAGUCCACAUCACAUGGGAAGCUCCGACGUCUCCAUCGGGCCGCAUCUUGGAGUAUUCCAUGUACAUGGCGGUGAAGAAGAGCCGCUCGUCCAGCUCGGAAGGGCCGGGCCAACUGGCGUUUAUCCGAAUCUACCGCGGUGUCAAGAUGUUCUGCACGGUGGGCUCCAACCACCUGGUCAACGCGCACCUGGACUGCUCCGCCUCCAACCGGCCGGCGCUGGUGUUCCGCAUCGCCGCCAAGAACGAGCAGGGCUACGGGCCGGCGACGCAGAUCCGCUGGAUCCAAGGUCGGCAGUGAACGCGGCCAUCGAGUAAAUCCGGUAUACGCGUGACCUUGCUGCGCAUUAAGCGACGCGGGGAAAUGAGCUCCCGGCGCAGACGGCUUCAAAAUGCAAGGCGAAUCCAAGGGGUGCGGCGCGCAGGAUCUGGACGGCGGCGACAGCUCCAGCUGAAAGUGAGUCACGAAGGCGAACUCUGGCAAUCAAGCAAUAAACACCAGUGAAAUACCUGCAUAAUAUGAAAGAUUUUAGUUAUAGUUUUGAUAAUUGAUGUAUUUAAAAAUCUUUUUCUAUAGCAUUCAUAUAUUUUGUAAAACAGACUACUGCACUUAAAAGGAUGAUAUGCUGGCGGCAUUGUGUUUUUGUUGUAGUUAUUUGUUUUGAUGAAUGAUUUGAAUGUAAUUUAUUUAAUUUACGGCUUGAAGGCAGGAAAAGCAUUUCAAGUUUGAUGAAAUGGGAUACUGGGUUUCACAAUUUUUGUGUGUGCAUUGAUGAAUCAAAUCGUCAAAGAAAUCACUGUGAAUUUGUCUGAUGUGAUGUUUGUGGAACUUACUGCAGUAAAUUGCCUUUGCUAAUAAUGUGGCAGCGGUGGUUUCUUUCUAUUAAACUUUGUGUUUGUAUGUUCGUUUCGUGAGAAUCGUACCGUUCAUGAAUUGGAACAAUAGCACGGAAUUGGAUUAGUUUUGUAUAUUUCAUUGGGUUGGUCUUUUUUUUUUUUUUUUUGUACACAAAUUCGUAAACAGGUGUUUAACAGGCUAAUUUGGUCAGGUGAGUACCGGUAGAUUGUAGCACAGUGGAACAUUUCUUGGUAUUAUUCGGCGCUUUAAGUUAAAACCAAAACGUUCACUCGACUGUAUAAUUAAAGAAUGUAAAGUAGAAGCGUAAGCAGAAAUAGAAGUGGCACUAUUAAAGAUUCGCUAACUAGCAAGGAACAAGCAUUCAAUAUAAGCUAGCAUGUAAUUACGUCGUGACCAAAAUAGCCAGUUGGUUCCUCUUUCGCUUGUGUUUACUUAGUAUUGUGUUUAUUGUUGAUUUUGU